GAAAUACUUCCUUUGUCUUAAAAUUAUUGUCUUAGAUUUAUCUAGAUAUGAAUGUAUGUAGUCACGUUUUAGUAUUNAGAUACAUCCAUUUCUAGACAAAUUUAAGACAAGAAUUUUAGGACGGAGGGAGUAUGUA
Molecule: non-coding RNA, 136 nt
Organism: Hordeum vulgare subsp. vulgare (domesticated barley)
Lineage: Eukaryota; Viridiplantae; Streptophyta; Magnoliopsida; Poales; Poaceae
Source: Rfam